This 587-nucleotide long non-coding RNA is filed under the name Homo sapiens (human). Its description in RNAcentral is "HSALNT0224211". Lineage: Eukaryota; Metazoa; Chordata; Mammalia; Primates; Hominidae. The record is from RNAcentral.
CAAAAAGAAAACCCCAUGUGUGGCAGAAAAGUGGUUGCUUAUGUUGCGAUGCUGGAGGAGGUGGUGUCUGGUUUCCAUAAGACCCAGGGGAUUGGUUGGACCAGUGACCUGGAAGUGCUGUAACCACCCAUUCCCUUGCCCAGGGGCCUGCCUGCUCCUCCCAGGCCACUACUCAGAGAGGUCUCCUCUGUGCUUGCUUGGAAGGUUCCUGUAGCUAUAAGCAGGUCGCUGAGAGCCCUCUCCCCAGACCCAGCACCCCCGCCCCUGUUCUCUUGCUGUUACCUGUCAACAGGCUUCCUGCUGUUACCGACCCCAGCGCAAGAGCCACAGAAGGCAGCUCUCUGAGGGCACCAGGCCAGGCAAGGCUGAGCAUCCUCCCAGGGAGUGAGACAUCAGCUUCCCAAAGAAAGGUCUUCGAUUACUAGUCUCUUAAAAAUGCUUCAAAUAAAACAAAAGGGGUUCUACAGCUACAAACGUUUGAGGAAUUUGGCUAACCCAAGUUCAACCCUCCCCCUCCUUUCCCUUCCCCCACCCAUCUCAGAAACCUACAGUAACCUGCUAAGUUGGGACCACACAGUGGUUAAGGC